AUUGAACGCUGGCGGCAUGCUUUACACAUGCAAGUCGAACGGCAGCGGGGGCUUCGGCCUGCCGGCGAGUGGCGAACGGGUGAGUAAUGCAUCAGAACGUGCCCAUGUCGUGGGGGAUAACGUAGCGAAAGCUACGCUAAUACCGCAUACGUCCUGAGGGAGAAAGCGGGGGAUCUUUGGACCUCGCGCGAUUGGAGCGGCCGAUGUCGGAUUAGCUAGUAGGUGAGGUAAAGGCUCACCUAGGCGACGAUCCGUAGCGGGUCUGAGAGGAUGAUCCGCCACACUGGGACUGAGACACGGCCCAGACUCCUACGGGAGGCAGCAGUGGGGAAUUUUGGACAAUGGGGGGCAACCCUGAUCCAGCCAUGCCGCGUGAGUGAAGAAGGCCUCGGGUU
RNAcentral lists this ribosomal RNA (395 nucleotides) under uncultured bacterium. RNAcentral describes it as "bacterial SSU rRNA". It matches the Rfam family "Bacterial small subunit ribosomal RNA", at positions 28 to 424 of the family's 1533-position model. The record is from RNAcentral.